This 570-nucleotide ribosomal RNA is filed under the name bacterium RBM-A27. RNAcentral describes it as "bacterial SSU rRNA". It matches the Rfam family "Bacterial small subunit ribosomal RNA", at positions 75 to 642 of the family's 1533-position model. The record is from RNAcentral.
GGUCUUCGGAUGCUGACGAGUGGCGAACGGGUGAGUAAUACAUCGGAACGUGCCCGAUCGUGGGGGAUAACGAAGCGAAAGCUUUGCUAAUACCGCAUACGAUCUACGGAUGAAAGCAGGGGACCGCAAGGCCUUGCGCGAACGGAGCGGCCGAUGGCAGAUUAGGUAGUUGGUGGGAUAAAAGCUUACCAAGCCGACGAUCUGUAGCUGGUCUGAGAGGACGACCAGCCACACUGGGACUGAGACACGGCCCAGACUCCUACGGGAGGCAGCAGUGGGGAAUUUUGGACAAUGGGCGCAAGCCUGAUCCAGCCAUGCCGCGUGCAGGAUGAAGGCCUUCGGGUUGUAAACUGCUUUUGUACGGAACGAAAAGACUCUGGUUAAUACCUGGGGUCCAUGACGGUACCGUAAGAAUAAGCACCGGCUAACUACGUGCCAGCAGCCGCGGUAAUACGUAGGGUGCAAGCGUUAAUCGGAAUUACUGGGCGUAAAGCGUGCGCAGGCGGUUAUAUAAGACAGAUGUGAAAUCCCCGGGCUCAACCUGGGAACUGCAUUUGUGACUGUAUGGCU